Molecule: ribosomal RNA, 792 nt
Filed under: uncultured bacterium
Lineage: Bacteria
Description: bacterial SSU rRNA
Rfam family: Bacterial small subunit ribosomal RNA
Source: RNAcentral
ACAUGCAAGUCGAACGGAAGUCGUUAUAAAAAGGAUUGAAGAUUUAUCUGAUUGAGAUUUUAUAACAAUGGCUUUAGUGGCGGACUGGUGAGUAACGCGUGAGCAACCUGCCUACUAGAGGGGAAUAACAGUGAGAAAUCAUUGCUAAUACCGCAUAUGCCAUGAACAUCACAUGAUGAAAGUGGGAAAAGAGUAAUCUGCUAGUAGAUGGGCUCGCGUCUGAUUAGAUAGUUGGUGGGGUAACGGCCUACCAAGUCGACGAUCAGUAGCCGGACUGAGAGGUUGAACGGCCACAUUGGGACUGAGAUACGGCCCAGACUCCUACGGGAGGCAGCAGUCGGGAAUAUUGCGCAAUGGAGGAAACUCUGACGCAGUGACGCCGCGUAUAGGAAGAAGGUUUUCGGAUUGUAAACUAUUGUCGUUAGGGAAGAUACAAGACAGUACCUAAGGAGGAAGCUCCGGCUAACUACGUGCCAGCAGCCGCGGUAAUACGUAGGGAGCAAGCGUUAUCCGGAUUUAUUGGGUGUAAAGGGUGCGUAGACGGGAAAGCAAGUUAGUUGUGAAAUCCCUCGGCUUAACUGAGGAACUGCAACUAAAACUGUUUUUCUUGAGUGUUGGAGAGGAAAGUGGAAUUCCUAGUGUAGCGGUGAAAUGCGUAGAUAUUAGGAGGAACACCGGUGGCGAAGGCGACUUUCUGGACAAUAACUGACGUUGAGGCACGAAAGUGUGGGGAGCAAACAGGAUUAGAUACCCUGGUAGUCCACACCGUAAACGAUGGAUACUAGGUGUAGG